UGGGGAAUCUUGCACAAUUGGGGCAACCCUGAUGCAGCGACGCCGCGUGAGCGAUGAAGCCCUUCGGGGCAUAAAGCUCUUUCGACCGGAACGAUAAUGACGGUACCGGGAGAAGAAGCUGCGGCUAACUACGUGCCAGCAGCCGCGGUAAUACGUAGGCAGCAAGCGUUGUUCGGAGUUACUGGGCGUAAAGAGUGCGUAGGCGGUUUUCUAAGUUCGGUGUGAAAUCUCCCGGCUUAACUGGGAGGGUGCGCCGAAGACUGGGAAGCUGGAGUGUGGGAAAGGCAGGCGGAAUUCCUGGUGUAGCGGUGAAAUGCGUAGAUAUCAGGAGGAACACCGGCGGUGUAGACGGCUUGCUAGACCAUAACUAACGCUGAGGCACGAAAGCGUGGGUAGCAAACA
RNAcentral lists this ribosomal RNA (402 nucleotides) under uncultured bacterium. RNAcentral's name for it is "bacterial SSU rRNA". It matches the Rfam family "Bacterial small subunit ribosomal RNA", at positions 355 to 774 of the family's 1533-position model. The record is from RNAcentral.